AGUCACUGACAUUAGAUACCCGUGUAGUCCUAGCCGUAAACGAUACUCGCUAGGUGUCGGCCACGGUGCGACCGUUGUCGGUGCCGUAGGGAAGCCGUGAAGCGAGCCACCUGGGAAGUACGGCCGCAAGGCUGAAACUUAAAGGAAUUGGCGGGGAGCACCACAACGGGUGGAGCUUGCGGUUUAAUUGGAUUCAACGCCGGAAAUCUUACCGGGACCGACAGCAACAUGAAGGCCAGGCUGAAGACUUUGCCGGAUUAGCUG
This 264-nucleotide ribosomal RNA is filed under the name uncultured archaeon. RNAcentral describes it as "partial 16S ribosomal RNA". It matches the Rfam family "Archaeal small subunit ribosomal RNA", at positions 717 to 982 of the family's 1478-position model. The record is from RNAcentral.